Molecule: ribosomal RNA, 497 nt
Filed under: uncultured bacterium
Lineage: Bacteria
Description: partial 16S ribosomal RNA
Rfam family: Bacterial small subunit ribosomal RNA
Source: RNAcentral
GAUGAACGCUGGCGGCGUGCCUAAUACAUGCAAGUCGAGCGAACGGACGAGAAGCUUGCUUCUCUGAUGUUAGCGGCGGACGGGUGAGUAACACGUGGAUAACCUACCUAUAAGACUGGGAUAACUUCGGGAAACCGUAGCUAAUACCGGAUAAUAUUUUGAACCGCAUGGUUCAAAAGUGAAAGACGGUCUUGCUGUCACUUAUAGAUGGAUCCGCGCUGCAUUAGCUAGUUGGUAAGGUAACGGCUUACCAAGGCAACGAUGCAUAGCCGACCUGAGAGGGUGAUCGGCCACACUGGAACUGAGACACGGUCCAGACUCCUACGGGAGGCAGCAGUAGGGAAUCUUCCGCAAUUGGCGAAAGCCUGACGGAGCAACGCCGCGUGAGUGAUGAAGGUCUUCGGAUCGUAAAACUCUGUUAUUAGGGAAGAACAUAUGUGUAAGUAACUGUGCACAUCUUGACGGUACCUAAUCAGAAAGCCACGGCUAGCUACGUG